RNAcentral lists this long non-coding RNA (250 nucleotides) under Mytilus galloprovincialis (Mediterranean mussel). The record is from RNAcentral. Lineage: Eukaryota; Metazoa; Mollusca; Bivalvia; Mytilida; Mytilidae.
CGUCUAUCUUCAGAACUCGAUACAAGUUACGUGAACUCAUUGUCUUCCUGGUUUGUCAUUUCACCAACUAAUUUGCUUACUCAUCACUUGUACAAUUGAAAUAUGGACUCGUUCACUUGUUUGCCUGUCAACUCGUUUACCUGUCGAAUUGCUGACUCUAUGACAUGUCAACUUGUUGACUCAUCGUCAUACGGAACACGACACAAAUAUGGGCUCUUUGAUUAAGUGCCGAUUUCAUAGGAAGGAAGAG